This 492-nucleotide ribosomal RNA is filed under the name uncultured bacterium. RNAcentral's name for it is "partial 16S ribosomal RNA". It matches the Rfam family "Bacterial small subunit ribosomal RNA", at positions 29 to 507 of the family's 1533-position model. The record is from RNAcentral.
AGUGAACGCUGGCGGUAGGCCUAACACAUGCAAGUCGAACGGCAGCACAGUAAGAGCUUGCUCUUACGGGUGGCGAGUGGCGGACGGGUGAGGAAUACAUCGGCAUCUACUUUUUCGUGGGGGAUAACGUAGGGAAACUUACGCUAAUACCGCAUAUGACCUACGGGUGAAAGCAGGGGAUCUUCGCACCUUGCGCGAUUGAAUGAGCCGAUGUCGGAUCAGCUAGUUGGCGGGGUAAAGGCCCACCAAGGCGACGAUCCGUAGCUGGUCUGAGAGGAUGAUCAGCCACACUGGAACUGAGACACGGUCCAGACUCCUACGGGAGGCAGCAGUGGGGAAUAUUGGACAAUGGGCGCAAGCCUGAUCCAGCCAUACCGCGUGGGUGAAGAAGGCCUUCGGGUUGUAAAGCCCUUUUGUUGGGAAAGAAAAGCAGCAGGUUAAUACCCCGCUGUUCUGACGGUACCCAAAGAAUAAGCACCGGCUAACUUCGUG